AUAGUACUCCCUCCGUUCCUAAAUAUUUGUCUUUCUAGACAUUUCAAAUGACUACUACAUACGGAUAUAUGUAGACAUAUUUUAGAGUGUAGAUUCACUCAUUUUGCUCCGUAUGUAGUCAUUUGUUGAAAUGCCUAGAAAGACAAGUAUUUAGGAACGGAGGGAGUAUAUU
This is a non-coding RNA of Triticum aestivum (bread wheat), 172 nucleotides long. The record is from Rfam. Lineage: Eukaryota; Viridiplantae; Streptophyta; Magnoliopsida; Poales; Poaceae.